GGCAAACAAAAAGUUACUAUUCUGUUCAGAUAUUCAUCUUUAGUUUAUAUAACAGCCAACAUAUUUUGUUAAUAAGUUAAGGAAAAUAUUGAUCUCAUCUAUAGAAGCUGGACAGAUUAUAUAUGGAUUGUUGAAAGCAGAAUUCAAAAUAAAUACUUGUAGUACCUGCAGUACCCUGGAAAGAUUUUGAUGCCUUGCUAACCUUCAACUAGAACACAUAUCAUAAGUUAGAAACAUGGUCAAUCACCAUAGAUGAAAAAAAUAAACAAAGACAAGUUCAGGUUAUUACUUUUCUAUAUGGCCAUGCAAUUGACAUCAUUUGAGCAUCAGCCAUAGUGCUCAUUUCAGCGUAAGGUCGAGGCAGAAUUGCAUCCCUUUUCAGCAGUAAAUUCACAAUAAUUUCACAAAAUUGCUUUCCAAGUACCUAACCUCCUACCAUGGUGUAUGAAUUAGUUGAAAUAAUCGUUCCCUUAGUCACAGGUAGAUCAGAUCUCAACAUGGCAUAUAAUAUCACAUCCUUUCCAACCUGAAGCAAAAAAUUGACACUUAUGAAAUGAAUCAACAUGUAGAACCACUAUAAAAUUAGAACUAGAAACUUCAUAUGAUGGAUGAGAAGAUUACAAGUUCA
RNAcentral lists this long non-coding RNA (628 nucleotides) under Setaria viridis. Its description in RNAcentral is "long non-coding RNA (SVIR_LNC003037)". The record is from RNAcentral. Lineage: Eukaryota; Viridiplantae; Streptophyta; Magnoliopsida; Poales; Poaceae.